AGGAUUAGAUACCCUACUAUUAAAAGUUAUAUAUUGUUAGUAUAUAAAACUUAUGAAAACAAAAAAUUGUGGCGGUAUUUUAAGCUUUUCAGAGGAAUUUGCUCUUUAAUGGAUAAAACACCAAAAUCUUACUAAAAUUAGUUAAGCAGUCUGUAUACCACUAUUAAAGUAAUAGAUUAUUAUUAUUACUGGAAUUUAAAUGAUAAUUAAAAAAAAUUAAGUCAAGGUGCAGCAAAAAUUUUAGAAUGAAGUGAAUUACAUUUCUUUUUAGAGAGAAAAAUGAAAUUUUUAAUUUUAGGAUUUGAAAGUAAAGUUUUAAUAGAAUGAAAACUUGAAUUAAGCACUAAAAUAUGUACACAUCGCCCGUCGCUC
Molecule: ribosomal RNA, 372 nt
Filed under: Haemaphysalis leporispalustris
Lineage: Eukaryota; Metazoa; Arthropoda; Arachnida; Ixodida; Ixodidae
Description: partial 12S ribosomal RNA
Source: RNAcentral